Molecule: ribosomal RNA, 400 nt
Filed under: uncultured bacterium
Lineage: Bacteria
Description: bacterial SSU rRNA
Rfam family: Bacterial small subunit ribosomal RNA
Source: RNAcentral
UGGGGAAUUUUGCGCAAUGGGCGAAAGCCUGACGCAGCAACGCCGCGUGGGUGAUGAAGGUCUUCGGACUGUAAAACCCUGUCGUCAGGGACGAAGGUGCGCUCGCUAACAUCGGGUGUACUUGACGGUACCUGGAGAGGAAGCCCCGGCUAACUCUGUGCCAGCAGCCGCGGUAAUACAGAGGGGGCAAGCGUUAUUCGGAAUUAUUGGGCGUAAAGGGCGCGUAGGCGGCUUUUUAAGUCGGAUGUGCAAUCCCCGAGCUUAACUUGGGAACUGCAUCCGAGACUGGGAGGCUAGAGUACUGGAGAGGUUGGUGGAAUUCCACGUGUAGCGGUGAAAUGCGUAGAGAUGUGGAGGAACACCAGUGGCGAAGGCGGCCAACUGGACAGUAACUGACGCU